This 253-nucleotide ribosomal RNA is filed under the name uncultured bacterium. Its description in RNAcentral is "partial 16S ribosomal RNA". It matches the Rfam family "Bacterial small subunit ribosomal RNA", at positions 524 to 776 of the family's 1533-position model. The record is from RNAcentral.
UACGUGAGUGGCGAGCGUUAUCCGGAAUUACUGGGCGUAAAGGGUCCGUAGGGGGUGGUUCAAGUGCAAUGUUAAAUCUACUCGCUCAACGGGUAGGCCGCGUUGCAAACUGUUCCACUAGAGGUAUGUAGAGGUGAAUGGAAUUUCCGGAGUAGGGGUAAUAUCCGUAGAUACCGGAAGGAACACCAAUAGCGAAGGCAAUUCACUGGACAUCACCUGACCCUCAGGGACGAAAGCGUGGGGAGCGAACCGG